GACUGGUCGCCGCCGGCGCGCCGGCUCUCGCGCUCCUCGCUCAGCCCGGAUCGGCUGAGCGACGGCCGCGACCCGUCGCCGGAGCGGCGCCGGCCGCCGCUGCCGCGCUACGUGGGCGGCCACGACGAGUACAGAGGCCCCAAGACCUCGUCUCCGCUGGUACAGGACGACUACAGCCGCUCUCACGACAAGAGGAAGCCGCCUUACGAGCGCAUCUAGCGGCCAGUGCGUCGGCCUGGCCGCGGCGCGCGUGCUGCCCUCUCUCAUGACCCCGUGGGCUUCUCGGCGGGAUUGUGCUGUAGGCCCGGGCGCGGUCCACGGGCGCGCUGCGUCGGAGACCCCAGAAGGGGCUCAGUAGGCCCCCCGUUCAGAGCCGGGGGCUGACGGGCGUCAGCGGCCAGCCGCAUGUUCAGGGCGCGCCUCGUCGGGGCGCGGUGCGCCGGGCUCCCCGGCCGUGCCGGUCUCCGUUUGCCACCUUGCCGCGCGGGUAUAGCUGUUGUGGAUUUCAGUGAGUUUGUAUAUAGCCUCUAUUUAAAUACAUUCCGCGCGUUGCAGGUGGGCUGUGACUCGCGCUGCCCCCCUCCCCCCUUCGAUCAGCUGGCGCCCUCCCCCUCCCCCGACUGCCCACGUGAUAUAUACUGUACGUGCGAUAUAAAUAUGAUCAACUUUCGUGGCGCGUUAUCUGUGAAAAUACCAAGCGAUAAUACAAGGUUUGGGAAACUGG
Molecule: long non-coding RNA, 724 nt
Organism: Pollicipes pollicipes
Lineage: Eukaryota; Metazoa; Arthropoda; Thecostraca; Pollicipedomorpha; Pollicipedidae
Exons: 2
Source: RefSeq, a predicted model, not a curated record